UGAAAUGCGAAAAGUAAUGCGAUUUGCAUGAAUCUGUGAGUCAUCAAGUCUUUGAACGCACCUUGCACCGUAUGAGCAAUCGUACGGUAUACCUGUUUGAGAAUCGUAACCAUCUUCUAUUAGCAAUAAUGGAGACUUGUCGGCUUUGGCCUCGGCCAAUCCGAUUAAAUGCAGUAGGGUCUAGUCAGGCUGGUGGCCAGAGACACUGUGUGCUAGAGACAGCGGCUUUCCCGUCAAAGGGGGUCCAGUCUUCUCACGGUGCGUCUUUGGUCUAUACAGCUGGUCUGGCGGCGGCCCUUAACGGAGAAAGACUUUGACGAGUCGAAAGACUUUGACGAAUCUUUUCCAUCAUCUCUUUGAUCUCAAAUCAGGUAAGGCUACCCGCUGAACUUAA
Molecule: unclassified non-coding RNA, 394 nt
Filed under: uncultured fungus
Lineage: Eukaryota; Fungi
Description: sequence contains ITS1
Rfam family: 5.8S ribosomal RNA (bases 1-106)
Source: RNAcentral